GGAUUAGAUACCCUGGUAGUCCUGGCAGUAAACGGUGCACGUUUGGUGUGGGCGCAAUCGACCGCGUCCGCGCCGGAGCUAACGCGUUAAACGUGCCGCCUGGGAAGUACGGUCGCAAGAUUAAAACUCAAAGAAAUUGACGGGGACCCGCACAAGCGGUGGAGUAUGUGGCUUAAUUCGAUGCAACGCGAAGAACCUUACCUGGUCUUGACAUGCAUUGUGUCUCCGGUGAAAGCCGGAUAGAGUAGCAAUACUCGCUUUGCACAGGUGCUGCAUGGCUGUCGUCAGCUCGUGCCG
This 297-nucleotide ribosomal RNA is filed under the name uncultured bacterium. RNAcentral's name for it is "partial 16S ribosomal RNA". It matches the Rfam family "Bacterial small subunit ribosomal RNA", at positions 775 to 1067 of the family's 1533-position model. The record is from RNAcentral.